AGGUGUCUUGGCUAAUGUGUCUUGGCUAAGGUGUCUUGGCUAAUGUGUCUCGGCUAAUGUGUCUUGGCUAAGGUGUCUUGGCUAAGGUGUCUUGGCUAAGGUGUCUUGGCUAAGGUGUCUUGGCUAAUGUGUCUUGGCUAAGGUGUCUUGGCUAAGGUGUCUUGGCUAAGGUGUCUUGGCUAAUGUGUCUUGGCUAAUGUGUCUUGGCUAAGGUGUCUUGGCUAAGGUGUCUUGGCAAAGUGUCUUGGCUAAAGUGUCUUGGCUAAUGUGUCUUGGCUAAGGUGUCUUGGCUAAGGUGUCUUGGCUAAGGUGUCUUGGCUAAGGUGUCUUGGCUAAAGUGUCUUGGCUAAGGUGUCUUGGCUAAGGUGUCCUGGCUAAGGUGUCUUGGCUAAUGUGUCUUGGCUAAUGUGUCUUGGCUAAGGUGUCUUGGCUAAGGUGUCUUGGCUAAUGUGUCUUGGCUAAGGUGUCUUGGCUAAUGUGUCUCGGCUAAUGUGUCUUGGCUAAGGUGUCUUGGCUAAGGUGUCUUGGCUAAGGUGUCUUGGCUAAGGUGUCUUGGCUAAUGUGUCUUGGCUAAGGUGUCUUGGCUAAGGUGUCUUGGCUAAGGUGUCUUGGCUAAUGUGUAUUGGCUAAUGUGUCUUGGCUAAGGUGUCUUGGCUAAGGUGUCUUGGCAAAGUGUCUUGGCUAAGGUGUCUUGGCUAAGGUGUCUUGGCUAAGGUGUCUUGGCUAAAGUGUCUUGGCUCAUGUGUCUUGGCUAAGGUGUCUUGGCUAAUGUGUCUUGGCUAAUGUGUCUUGGCUAAGGUGUCUUGGCUAAUGUGUCUUGGCUAAUGUGUCUUGGCUAAGGUGUCUUGGCUAAUGUGUCUUGGCUAAUGUGUCUUGGCUAAGGUGUCUUGGCUAAAUUGUCUUGGCUAAGGUGUUUCGGCUUAUGUGUCUUGGCUAAGGUGUCUUGGCUAAUGUGUCUUGGCUAAUGUGUCUUGGCUAAUGUGACUUGGCUAAUGUGUCUUGGCUAAUGUGUCUUGGCUAAUGUGUCUUGGCUAAUGUGUCUUGGCUAAUGUGUCUUGGCUAAUGUGUCUUGGCUAAGGUGUCUUGGCUAAGGUGUCUUGGCUAAUGUGUCUUGGCUAAUGUGUCUUGGCUAAGGUGUCUUGGCUAAGGUGUCUUGGCUACUGUGUCUUGGCUAAGGUGUCUUGGCUAAUGUGUCUCGGCUAAUGUGUCUUGGCUAAUGUGUCUUGGCUAAUGUGUCUUGGCUAAGGUUUCUUGGCUAAUGUGUCUUGGCAAAUGUGUCUUGGCUAAGGUUUCUUGGCUAAUGUGUCUUGGCUAAUGUGUCUUGGCUAAAGUGUCUUGGCUAAGGUGUCUUGGCUAAUGUGUCUUGGCUAAGGUGUCUUGGCUAAUGUGUCUUGGCUAAUGUGUCUUUUCUAAGGUGUCUUGGCUAAGGUGUCGUGGCUAAAGUGUCUUGGCUAAGGUGUCUUGGCUAAUGUGUCUUGGCUAAUGUGUCUUGGCUAAGGUGUCUUGGCUAAGGUGUCUUGGCUAAGGUGUCUUGGCUAAAGUGUCUUGGCUAAUGUGUCUCGGCUAAUGUGUCUUGGCUAAUGUGUCUUGGCUAAUGUGUCUUGGCUAAGGUUUCUUGGCUAAUGUGUCUUGGCUAAUGUGUCUUGGCUAAUGUGUCUUGGCUAAUGUGUCUUGGCUAAUGUGUCUGGGCUAAGGUGUCUUGGCUCAUGUGUCUUGGCUAAGGUGUCUUGGCUAAAGUGUCUUGGCUAAGGUGUCUUGGCUAAUGUGUCUUGGCUAAUGUGUUUUGGCUAAUGUGUCUUGGCGAAUGUGUCUUGGCUAAGGUGUCUUGGCUAAGGUGUCUUGGCUAAUGAUUCUUGGCUAAGGUCUCUUGGCUAAUGUGUCUUGGCUAGAGUGUCUUGGCUAAGAUGUCUUGGCUAAUGUGUCUUGGCUAAGGAGUCUUGGCUAAGGUGUCUUGGCUAAUGUGUCUUGGCUAACGUGUCUUGGCUAAGGUGUCUUGGCUAAGGUGUCUUGGCUAAUGUGUCUUGGCUAAGGUGUCUUGGCUAAGGUGUCUUGGCUAAUGUGUCUUGGCUAAGGUGUCUUGGCUAAGGGGUCUUGGCUAAGGUGACUUGGCUAAGGUGUCUUGGCUAAUGUGUCUUGGCUAUGGUGUCUCGGCUAAUGUGUCUUGGCUAAUGUGUCUUGGCUAAUGUGUGUUGGCUAAUGUGUCUUGGCUAAGGUGUCUUGGCUAAGGUGUCUUGGCUAAUGUGUCUUGGCUAAGGUGUCUUGGCUAAUGUGUCUUGGCUAAUGUGUCUUUUCUAAUGUGUCUUGGCUAAGGUGUCUUGGCUAAUGUGUCUUGGCUAAUGUGUCUUGGCUAAGGUGUCUUGGCUAAGGUGUCUUGGCUUAUGUGUCUUGGCUAAGGUGUCUUGGCUAAUGUGUCUUGGCUAAUGUGUCUUGGCUAAUGUGUCUUGGCUAAUGUGUCUUGGCUAAUGUGUCUUAGCUAAGGUGUCUUGGCUAAUGUGUCUCGGCUAAUGUGUCUUGGCUAAUGUGUCUUGGCUAAUGUGUCUUGGCUAAUGUGUUUUUACUAAGGUGUCUUGGCUAAUGUGUCUUGGCUAAGGUGUCUUGGCUAAGGUGUCUUGGCUAAGGUGUCUUGGCUUAUGUGUCUUGGCUAAGGUGUCUUGGCUAAGGUGUCUUGGCUAAUGUGUCUUGGCUUAUGUGUCUUGGCUAAUGUGUCUUGGCUAAUGUGUCUUGGCUAAUGUGUCUUGGCUAAUGUGUCUUGGCUAAUGUGUCUUUGCUAAGGUGUCUUGGCUGAUGUGUCUUGGCUAAUGUGUCUUGGCUAAGGUGUCUUGGCUAAGGUGUCUUGGCUAAUGUGUCUUGGCUAAUGUGUCUUGGCUAAGGUGUCUUGGCUAAUGUGUCUUGGCUAAGGUGUCUUGGCUAAGGUGUCUUGGCUAAGGUGUCUUGGCUAUUGUGUCUUGGCUAAUGUGUCUUGGCUAAGGUGUCUUGGCUAAGGUGUCUUGGCUAAUGUGUCUUGGCUAAUGUGUCUUGGCUAAUGUGUCUUGGCUAAUGUGUCUUGGCUAAGGUGUCUUGGCUAAGGUGUCUUGGCUAAUGUGUCUUGGCUACUGUGUCUUGGCUAAGGUGUCUUGGCUAAUGUGUCUCGGCUAAUGUGUCUUGGCUAAUGUGUCUUGGCUAAUGUGUCUUGGCUAAGGUUUCUUGGCUAAUGUGUCUUGGCAAAUGUGUCUUGGCUAAGGUUUCUUGGCUAAUGUGUCUUGGCUAAUGUGUCUUGGCUAAAGUGUCUUGGCUAAGGUGUCUUGGCUAAUGUGUCUUGGCUAAGGUGUCUUGGCUAAUGUGUCUUGGCUAAUGUGUCUUUUCUAAGGUGUCUUGGCUAAGGUGUCGUGGCUAAAGUGUCUUGGCUAAGGUGUCUUGGCUAAUGUGUCUUGGCUAAUGUGUCUUGGCUAAGGUGUCUUGGCUAAGGUGUCUUGGCUAAGUUGUCUUGGCUAAGGUGACUUGGCUAACGUGUCUUGGCUAAGGUGUCUUGGCUAAGGUGUCUUGGCUAAGGUGUCUUGGCUAAGGUGUCUUGGCUAAGGUGUCUUGGCUAAGGUGUCUUGGCUAAGGUGUCUUGGCUAAGGUGUCUUGGCUAAGGUGUCUUGGCUAAGGUGUCUUGGCUAAGGUGACUUGGCUAACGUGUCUUGGCUAAGGUGUCUUGGCUAAGGUGUCUUGGCUAAGGUGUCUUGGCUAAGGUGUCUUGGCUAAGGUGUCUUGGCUAAGGUGACUUGGCUAAUGUGUCUUGGCUAAGGUGUCUUGGCUAAGGUGUCUUGGCUAAGGUGUCUUGGCUAAGGUGUCUUGGCUAAGGUGUCUUGGCUAAGGUGUCUUGGCUAAGGUGUCUUGGCUAAGGUGUCUUGGCUAUGGUGUCUUGGCUAAUGUGUCUUGGCUAAUGUGUCUUGGCUAAUGUGUCUUGGCUAAUGUAUCUUGGCUAAGGUGUCUUGGCUAAGGUGUCUUGGCUAAUGUGUCUUGGCUAAUGUGUCUUGGCUAAGGUGUCUUGGCUAAGGUGUCUUGGCUACUGUGUCUUGGCUAAGGUGUCUUGGCUAAUGUGUCUCGGCUAAUGUGUCUUGGCUAAUGUGUCUUGGCUAAUGUGUCUUGGCUAAGGUUUCUUGGCUAAUGUGUCUUGGCUAAUGUGUCUUGGCUAAUGUGUCUUGGCUAAUGUGUCUUGGCUAAUGUGUCUGGGCUAAGGUGUCUUGGCUCAUGUGUCUUGGCUAAGGUGUCUUGGCUAAAGUGUCUUGGCUAAGGUGUCUUGGCUAAUGUGUCUUGGCUAAUGUGUUUUGGCUAAUGUGUCUUGGCGAAUGUGUCUUGGCUAAUGUGUCUUGGCUAAGGUGUCUUGGCUAAUGAUUCUUGGCUAAGGUCUCUUAACUAAUGUGUCUUGGCUAAUGUGUCUUGGCUAAGGUGUCUUGGCUAAGGUGUCUUGGCUAAGGUGUCUUGGCUAAUGUGUCUUGGCUAAUGUGUCUCGGCUAAUGUGUCUUGGCUAAUGUGUCUUGGCUAAUGUGUCUUGGCUAAGGUGUCUUGGCUAAUGUGUCUUGGCUAAGGUGUCUUGGCUAAUGUGUCUUGGCUAAGGUUUCUUGGCUUAUGUGUCUUGGCUAAUGUGUCUUGGCUAAGGUGUCUUGGCUAUUGUGUCUUGGCUAAUGUGUCUGGGCUAAGGUGUCUUGGCUCAUGUGUCUUGGCUAAGGUGUCUUGGCUAAAGUGUCUUGGCUAAGGUGUCUUGGCUAAGGUGUCUUGGCUAAUGAGUCUUGGCUAAGGUGUCUUGGCUAAGGUGUCUUGGCUAAGGUGUCUUGGCUAAUGUGUCUUGGCUAAUGUGUCUUGGCUAAUGUGUCUUGGCUAAUGUGUCUUGGCUAAUGUGUUUUGGCUAAUGUGUCUUGGCUAAUGUGUUUUGGCUAAUGUGUCUUGGCUAAGGUGUCUUGGCUAAUGUGUCUUGGCUAAUGUUUCUUGGCUAAUGUGUCUUGGCUAAUGUGUCUUGACUAAUGUGUCUUGGCUAAUGUGUCUUGGCUAAAGUGUCUUGGCUAAAGUGUCUUGGCUAAGGUGUCUUUGCUAAGGUGUCUUGGCUAAGGUGUCUUGGCUAAUGUUCCUUGGCUAAUGUGUCUUGGCAAAUGUGUCUUGACUAACGUGUCUUGGCUAAUGUGUCUUGGGUAAUGUGUCUUGGCUAAGGUGUCUUGGCUAAUGUGUCUUGGCUAAGGUGUCUUGGCUAAUGUGUCUAGGCUAAGGUGUCUUGGCUAAUGUGUCUUGGCUAAUGUUCCUUGGCUAAUGUGUCUUGGCAAAUGUGUCUUGACUAACGUGUCUUGGCUAAUGUGUCUUGGGUAAUGUGUCUUGGCUAAAGUGUCUUGGCUAAGAUGUCUUGGCAAAUGUGUCUUGGCUAAGGUGUCUUGGCUAAUGUGUCUUGGCUAAGGUGUCAUGGCUAAGGUGUCUAGGCUAAUGUGUCUUGGCUAAGGUGUCUUGGCUAAUGUGUCUAGGCUAAUGUGUCUUGGCUAAGGUGUCUCGACUAAUGUGUCUUGGCUAAUGUGUGUUGGCUAAUGUGUCUUGGCUAAUGUGUCUUGGCUAAUGUGUCUUGGCUAAGGUGUCUUGGCUAAGGUGUCUUGGCUAAUGUGUCUUGGCUAAUGUGUCUUGGCUAAGGUGUCUUGGCUAAGGUGUCUUGGCUACUGUGUCUUGGCGAAAGUGUCUUGGUUAAUGUGUCUCGGCUAAUGUGUCUUGGCUAAUGUGUCUUGGCUAAUGUGUCUUGGCUAAGGUGUCUUGGCUAAUGUGUCUUGGCUAAUGUGUCUUGGCUAAGGUUUCUUGGCUAAUGUGUCUUGGCUAAUGUGUCUUGGCUAAUGUGUCUUGGCUAAAGUGUCUUGGCUAAUGUGUCUGGGCUUAGGUGUCUUGGCUCUUGUGUCUUGGCUAAGGUUUCUUGGCUAAUGUGUGUUGGCUAAUGUGUCUUGGCUAAUGUGUCUUGGCUAAAGUGUCUUGGCUAAUGUGUCUUGGCUAAUGUGUCUUGGCUAAGGUGUCUUGGCUAAUGUGUCUUGGCUAAUGUGUCUUGGCUAAUGUGUCUUGGCUAAGGUGUCUUUUCUAAGGUGUCUUGGCUAAGGUGUCUUGGCUACUGUGUCUUGGCUAAGGUGUCUUGGCUAAUGUGUCUCGGCUAAUGUGUCUUGGCUAAUGUGUCUUGGCUAAUGUGUCUUGGCUAUGGUGUCUUGGCUAAGGUGUCUUGGCUACUGUGUCUUGGCGAAAGUGUCUUGGUUAAUGUGUCUCGGCUAAUGUGUCUUGGCUAAUGUGUCUUGGCUAAUGUGUCUUGGCUAAGGUGUCUUGGCUAAUGUGUCUUGGCUAAUGUGUCUUGGCUAAGGUUUCUUGGCUAAUGUGUCUUGGCUAAUGUGUCUUGGCUAAUGUGUCUUGGCUAAAGUGUCUUGGCUAAUGUGUGUUGGCUAAUGUGUCUUGGCUAAGGUGUCUUGGCUAAGGUUUCUUGGCUAAUGUGUGUUGGCUAAUGUGUCUUGGCUAAUGUGUCUUGGCUAAUGUGUCUUGGCUAAAGUGUCUUGGCUAAGGUGUCUUGGCUAAUGUGUCUUGGCUAAGGUGUCUUGGCUAAUGUGUCUUGGCUAAGGUGUCUUGGCUAAGAUGUCUUGGCUAAUGUGUCUUGGCUAAUGUGUCUUGGCUAAUGUGUCUUGGCUAAAGUGUCUUGGCUAAGAUGUCUUGGCUAAUGUGUCUUGGCUAAGGUGUCUUGGCUAAGGUGUGUUGGCUAAGGUGUCUUGGCUGAGGUGUCUUGGCUAAGGUGUCUUGGCUAAGGUGUCUUGGCUAAUGUGUCUUGGCUAUGGUGUCUUGGCUAAUGUGUCUUGGCUAAUGUGUCUUGGCUAAUGUGUGUUGGCUAAGGUGUCUUGGCUAAUGUGUCUUGGCUAAUGUGUCUUGGCUAAGGUGUCUUGGCUAAGGUGUCUUGGCUAAUGUGUCUUGGCUAAUGUGUCUUGGCUAAGGUGUCUUGGCUAAGGUGUCUUGGCUACUGUGUCUUGGCUAAAGUGUCUUGGUUAAUGUGUCUCGGCUAAUGUGUCUUGGCUAAUGUGUCUUGGCUAAUGUGUCUUGGCUAAUGUGUCUGUGCUAAUGUGUCUUGGCUAAUGUGUCUUGGCUAAGGUGUCUUGGCUAAUGUGUCUUGGCUUAGGUGUCUCGGCUAAUGUGUCUUGGCUAAUGUGUCUUGGCUAAGGUGUCUCGGCUAAGGUGUCUUGGCUAAUGUGUCUUGGCUAAUGUGUCUUGGCUAAUGUGUCUUGGCUUAGGUGUCUCGGCUAAUGUGUCUUGGCUAAUGUGUCUUGGCUAAGGUGUCUUGGCUAAGGUGUCUUGGCUAAGGUGUCUUGGCUAAUGUGUCUGUGCUAAUGUGUCUUGGCUAAUGUGUCUUGGCUAAGGUGUCUUGGCUAAUGUGUCUUGGCUUAGGUGUCUCGGCUAAUGUGUCUUGGCUAAGGUAUUUUGGCUAAGGUGUCUUGGCUAAGGUGUCUUGGCUAAUGUGUCUUGGCUAAUGUGUCUUGGCUAAUGUGUCUUGGCUUAGGUGUCUCGGCUAAUGUGUCUUGGCUAAUGUGUCUUGGCUAAGGUGUCUUGGCUAAGGUGUCUUGGCUAAUGUGUCUCGGCUAAUGUGUCUUGGCUAAUGUGUCUUGGCUAAGGUGUCUUCGCUAAGGUGUCUUGGCUAAGGUGUCUUGGCUAAUGUGUCUUGGCUAAGCUGUCUUGGCUAAUGUGUCUUGGCUAAUGUGUCUUGGCUAAGGUGUCUUGGCUAAUGUGUCUUGGCUAAUGUGUCUUGGCUAAGGUGUCUUGGCUAAGGUGUCUUGGCUAAUGUGUCUUGGCUAAGGUGUUUUGGCUAAGGUGUCUUGGCUAAGGUGUCUUGGCUAAUGUGUCUUGGCUAAUGUGUCUUGGCUUAGGUGUCUCGGCUAAUGUGUCUUGGCUAAUGUGUCUUGGCUAAGGUGUUUUUUCUAAGGUGUCUUGGCUAAGGUGUCUUGGCUAAUGUGUCUUGGCUAAGGUGUCUUGGCUAAUGUGUCUCGGCUAAUGUGUCUUGGCUAAGGUGUCUUGGCUAAUGUGUCUUGGCUAAUGUGUCUCGGCUAAUGUGUCUUGGCUAAGGUGUCUUGGCUAAUGUGUCUCGGCUAAGGUGUCUUGGCUAAGGUGUCUCGGCUAAUGUGUCUUGGCUAAUGUGUCUUGGCUAAUGUGUCUUGGCUAAGGUGUCUUGGCUAAGGUGUCUCGGCUAAUGUGUCUUGGCUAAUGUGUCUUGGCUAAGGUGUCUUGGCUAAUGUGUCUCGGCUAUUGUGUCUUGGCUAAUGUGUCUUGGCUAAUGUGUCUCGGCUAAUGUGUCUUGGUAAAAGUGUCUCUGCUAAUGUGUCUUGGCUAAUGUGUCUCGGCUAAUGUGUCUUGGCUAAGGUGUCUUGGCUAAGGUGUCUUGGCUAAUGUGUCUUGGCUAAUGUGUCUUGGCUAAGGAGUCUUGGCUAAUGUGUCUUGGCUAAGGUGUCUUGGCUAAUGUGUCUUGGCUAAUGUGUCUUGGCUAAGGUGUCUUGGCUAAGGUGUCUUGGCUAAGGUGUCUGGCUAAUGUGUCUUGGCUAAUGUGUCUUGGCUAAUGUGUCUUGGCUUAUGUGUCUCGGCUAAUGUUUCUUGGCUAAGGUGUCUUGGCUAAGGUGUCUUGGCUAAUGUGUCUUGGCUAAUGUGUCUUGGAUAAGGUGUCUUGGCUAAGGUGUCUUGGCUAAUGUGUCUAGGCAAAUGUGUCUUGGCUAAUGUGUCUUGGCUAAUGUGUCUCGGCUAAUGUGUCUUGGCUAAGGUGUCUUGGCUAAGGUGUCUUGGCUAAUGUGUCUUGGCUAAUGUGUCUUGGCUAAUGUGUGGUGGCUAAUGUGUCUUGGCUAAGGUGUCUUGGCUAAUGUGUCUCGGCUAUUGUGUCUUGGCUAAUGUGUCUUGGCUAAUGUGUCUCGGCUAAUGUGUCUUGGUAAAAGUGUCUCUGCUAAUGUGUCUUGGCUAAUGUGUCUCGGCUAAUGUGUCUUGGCUAAGGUGUCUUGGCUAAGGUGUCUUGGCUAAUGUGUCUUGGCUAAUGUGUCUUGGCUAAGGAGUCUUGGCUAAUGUGUCUUGGCUAAGGUGUCUUGGCUAAGGUGUCUUGGCUAAUGUGUCUCGGCUAAUGUGUCUUGGCUAAGGUGUCUUGGCUAAGGUGUCUCGGCUAAUGUGUCUUGGCUUAUGUGUCUUGGCUAAGGUGUCUUGGCUAAGGUGUCUUGGCUAAGGUGUCUUGGCUAAGGUGUCUUGGCUAAGGUGUCUUGGCUAAUGUGUCUUGGCUUAUGUGUCUCGGCUAAUGUGUCUUGGCUAAGGUGUCUUGGCUAAGGUGUCUUGGCUUAUGUGUCUUGGCUAAGGUGUCUUGGAUAAGGUGUCUUGGCUAAUGUGUCUCGGCUUAUGUGUCUCGGCUAAUGUGUCUUGGCUAAGGUGUCUUGGCUAAUGUGUCUUGCCUAAUGUGUCUUGGCUAAUGUGUCUUGGCUAAGGUGUCUCGGCUAAUGUGUCUUGGCUUAGGUGUCUUGGCUAAUGUGUCUCGGCUAAUGUGUCUCGGCUAAUGUGUCUUGGCUAAGGUGUCUUGGCUAAGGUGUCUUGGCUAAGGUGUCUUGGCUUAUGUGUCUUGGCUAAGGUGUCUUGGCUAAUGUGUCUUGGCUUAGGUGUCUUGGCUAAUGUGUCUCGGCUAAUGUGUCUUGGCUAAGGUGUCUUGGCUAAGGUGUCUUGGCUAAUGUGUCUUGGCUAAUGUGUCUCGGCUAAUGUGUCUUGGCUAAGGUGUCUUGGCUAAGGUGUCUUGGCUAAUGUGUCUUGGCUAAUGUGUCUUGGCUAAUGUGUGGUGGCUAAUGUGUCUUGGCUAAGGUGUCUUGGCUAAUGUGUCUCGGCUAUUGUGUCUUGGCUAAUGUGUCUCGGCUAAUGUGUCUCGGCUAAUGUGUCUUGGCUAAUGUGUCUUGGCUAAGGUGUCUUGGCUAAGGUGUCUUGGCUAAGGUGUCUUGGCUAAUGUGUCUCGGCUAAUGUGUCUUGGCUAAUGUGUCUUGGCUAAUGUGUCUUGGCUAAGGUGUCUUGGCUAAGGUGUCUUGGCUAAGGUGUCUUGGCUAAUGUGUCUCGGCUAAUGUGUCUUGGUAAAUGUGUCUUGGCUAAUGUGUCUUGGCUAAUGUGUCUCGGCUAAUGUGUCUUGGCUAAGGUGUCUUGGCUAAGGUGUCUUGGCUAAUGUGUCUUGGCUAAUGUGUCUUGGCUAAUGUGUCUUGGCUAAGGUGUCUUGGCUAAGGUGUCUUGGCUAAUGUGUCUUGGCUAAGGUGUCUCGGUUAAUGUGUCUUGGCUAAGGUGUCGUGGCUAAAGUGUCUUGGCUAAGGUGUCUUGGCUAAGGUGUCUUGGCUAAGGUGUCUUGGCUAAUGUGUCUCGGCUAAUGUGUCUUGGCUAAGGUGUCUUGGCUUAGGUGUCUUGGCUAAUGUGUCUUGGCAAAUGUGUCUUGGCUAAUGUGUCUUGGCUAAUGUGUCUCGGCUAAUGUGUCUUGGCUAAUGUGUCUCGGCUAAUGUGUCUUGGCUAAGGUUUCUUGGCUUAGGUGUCUUGGCUAAUGUGUCUUGGCAAAUGUGUCUUGGCUAAUGUGUCUUGGCUAAUGUGUCUCGGCUAAUGUGUCUUGGCUAAUGUGUCUCGGCUAAUGUGUCUUGGCUAAGGUGUCUUGGCUUAGGUGUCUUGGCUAAUGUGUCUUAGCAAAUGUGUCUUGGCUAAUGUGUCUUGGCUAAUGUGUCUUGGCUAAGGUGUCUUGGCUAAGGUGUCUUGGCUAAUGUGUCUUGGCUAAUGUGUCUUGGCUAAGGUGUCUUGGCUAAGGUGUCUUGGCUAAUGUGUCUUGGCUAAGGUGUCUUGGCUAAUGUGUCUUGGCUAAUGUGUCUUGGCUAAGGUGUCUUGGCUAAGGUGUCUUGGCUAAUGUGUCUUGGCUAAUGUGUCUUGGCUAAUGUGUCUUGGCUAAGGUGUCUUGGCUAAUGUGUCUUGGCUAAUGUGUCUUGGCUAAGGUGUCUUGGCUAAUGUGUCUUGGCUAAUGUGUCUUGGCUAAGGUGUCUUGGCUAAGGUGUCUUGGCUAAGGUGUCUUGGCUAAUGUGUCUUGGCUAAUGUGUCUUGGCUAAGGUGUCUCGGCUAAGGUGUCUUGGCUAAUGUGUCUCGGCUAAUGUGUCUUGGCUAAGGUGUCUUGGCUUAGUUGUCUUGGCUAAUGUGUCUUGGCAAAUGUGUCUUGGCUAAUGUGUCUUGGCUAAUGUGUCUCGGCUAAUGUGUCUUGGCUAAUGUGUCUCGGCUAAUGUGUCUUGGCUAAGGUGUCUUGGCUUAGGUGUCUUGGCUAAUGUGUCUUGGCAAAUGUGUCUUGGCUAAUGUGUCUUGGCUAAUGUGUCUUGGCUAAGGUGUCUUGGCUAAGGUGUCUUGGCUAAUGUGUCUUGGCUAAAGUGUCUUGGCUAAGGUGUCUUGGCUAAGGUGUCUUGGCUAAUGUGGCUUGGCUAAGGUGUCUUGGCUAAUGUGUCUUGGCUAAUGUGUCUUGGCUAAUGUGUCUUGGCAAAUGUGUCUUGGCUAAUGUGUCUUGGCUAAUGUGUCUUGGCUAAGGUGUCUUGGCUAAGGUGUCUUGGCUAAUGUGUCUUGGCUAAAGUGUCUUGGCUAAGGUGUCUUGGCUAAGGUGUCUUGGCUAAUGUGGCUUGGCUAAGGUGUCUUGGCUAAUGUGUCUUGGCUAAUGUGUCUUGGCUAAUGUGUCUUGGCUAAGGUGUCUUGGCUAAUGUGUCUUGGCUAAUGUGUCUUGGCUAAUGUGUCUUGGCUAAUGUGUCUUGGCUAAGGUGUCUUGGCUAAGGUGUCUUGGCUAAUGUGUCUUGGCUAAUGUGUCUUGGCUAAGGUGUCUUGGCUAAGGUGUCUUGGCAAAGGUGUCUUGGCUAAGGUGUCUUGGCUAAGGUGUCUCGGCUAAUGUGUCUUGGCUAAUGUGUCUUGGCUGAGGUUU
Molecule: long non-coding RNA, 11917 nt
Organism: Anopheles funestus (African malaria mosquito)
Lineage: Eukaryota; Metazoa; Arthropoda; Insecta; Diptera; Culicidae
Exons: 15
Source: RefSeq, a predicted model, not a curated record